GAUGAAGAACGUAGCGAAAUGCGAUACGUAAUGUGAAUUGCAGAAUUCAGUGAAUCAUCGAAUCUUUGAACGCAUAUUGCGCUCUCUGGUAUUCCGGAGAGCAUGCUUGUUUGAGUAUCAGUAAACACCUCAACUUCCAUAUCUUUUUUGAAAUGGGAGUUGGACUUGAGUGAUCCCAACGCUUUUCCUCACCGAAAAGUGGCGGGUUACUUGAAAUGCAGGUGCAGCUGGACUUUUCUCUGAGCUAUAAGCAUAUCUAUUUAGUCUGCCUAAAAAACAGAUUAUUACCUUUGCUGCAGCUAACAUAAAGGAGAUUAGUUCUUGUGCUGACUGAUGCAGAAUUCACAAAGACAGGCUUCGGCCGACUUUGUAAACUCGAUCUCAAAUCAAGUAAGACUACCCGCUGAACUUAAGCAUAUCAAUAAGCGGAGGA
RNAcentral lists this unclassified non-coding RNA (433 nucleotides) under soil metagenome. RNAcentral describes it as "partial contains 5.8S ribosomal RNA, internal transcribed spacer 2, and large subunit ribosomal RNA". The stretch from base 1 to 120 matches the Rfam family "5.8S ribosomal RNA", at positions 35 to 154 of the family's 154-position model. The record is from RNAcentral.